GAGAUACUGAGUGUACUGUGCACGCAGAGGUGAGCAUAUAGGAAGCGCAAGCUUCCAUCCCCUCGCUGAGAAGGAACCAGAUGUGCAGAGGGAAACCCUGGCAGAUUUUUGUGCAAACAGAAGACUUGACCUCUUGUAUCGAGGAGCUCCACCCACUACAGUCAGACGGGACAAAGCCUGUGUUUGGUUUGGGAUUAGGCAUUUGCACAGAAGAGCAUUAGUCCUGCUGCAUCAGCCAUGGGGCUCAAGCUCAGGGAGAAAGCUGCUUCCUUCUUCUUUGAAUAUGACACCCCCCGGAUGGUGCUGGUAAACAACAAGAAAGUGGGACUCGUCUUCCGGCUGAUCCAGCUUGUGGUCCUUGGAUACAUCAUAGGGUGGGUUUUCCUCUAUGAGAAGGGUUAUCAGUCACAGGACGGCAUCAUCAGCUCGGUCUCGGUGAAGCUCAAAGGUUUAACUGUUACUAACGUUAGUGGGAUAGGCCCACACGUCUGGGACGUGGCCGACUAUGUAUUUCCAUCUCAGGGGGACAGUUCUUUUGUGGUGAUGACAAACGUCAUUAUCACCCGCGGACAGAAGCAGGAUAUUUGCCCUGAGCUGCCCGAUGCAGGACGAUGCAAUAAAGAUAGCGACUGUAUCCAAGGGAAUUACAGUCGCCAGGGACAAGGUAUCAUGACUGGGAAGUGUGUAGAUUUCAACAGUGAUGUCCAGACCUGUGAGAUUUUUGGCUGGUGCCCUGUAGAAGAGGACGGUCAGAUUCCUGACCCCCCGUUGCUCUUAGAAGCUGAAAAAUUUACCUUAUUUAUUAAGAACAGCAUCAGCUUCCCCACAUUUAAAGUCUCCAGACGCAACCUAGUGGAGGGCAUUACCACAAGCUACCUGAAAAAAUGCACCUACCACAAAAACAAAGAUCCUUUUUGCCCUGUGUUUGAGCUGGGAUACAUUGUGAAGGAAUCGGGACAAAAUUUUCAUGCCCUGGCCCUUAAGGGCGGGGUUGUCGGUAUCACCAUAGACUGGGACUGUGACCUCGACUGGCCCGUGACAUACUGUAAACCCGUUUACCAGUUUCACGGACUUUACAAUGAUGACAAUAACGUUUCACCAGGCUUCAACUUCAGGUAUGCCAAAUACUACAGAGAUAAUGGAACUGACUACAGGACUUUGUACAAGGUGUUUGGAAUCCGGUUUGACAUCCUGGUGAAUGGAAAGGCAGGUAAAUUUGACAUCAUCCCAACGAUGACCACAAUAGGCUCUGGAAUUGGUAUAUUUGGAGUGGCAUCUGUAGUGUGUGAUCUGCUCCUGCUGCACUUUCUCCCACGACGGGAUUAUUACAAACAGAGGAAAUUCAAAUAUGCGGAAAUGAAGACUCCCGUGUCUAGUUGGGAGUGCUUCACUAAGAAUGGUGUGAAACAUAUUGAGACCAAUUGGAUCAUGAUUACUGUUGCACAACAGAGAUAAGUCUUUAUCACUGAUGCUGCUGUGGGGUAAUCCCAGAAGGAAUAAUUGUUUCAUCUGGUUUGGACUGGGCAAUAUCACAGGAAAAAGAAGAGGCUUCCCCUUCCUCCAUGUGCAAUCUGCAGAACAACAUGACGGGCUCUCAGUGAAAUGGUCUGCACUGAAAGAAGAACCUGCAACCUCUUCCUCUUCUGAUAUUUUGUAAUAGCCCCCAGUUCAUCAGGCCAUCACAGACCAAAUGCCAGCUGAACUCACCAUUUUAUACCUUAGACUGAGUAUUCCUAGGCUGAUACAUUUUGGCUGUGUUUCAACAGACUAUAUUUGUCAGGAUAGGAGUGCACAUCUUUAUGAGCACAGCCAAAAUGUGAGUGGAAGCCCAAUGGGCUGCAAGAUAGCAGAUGGUUCUGAUUUAGUCGCAGCUUUAGGCACUGACUAAACUAUUCUGGCAUGGGGGAUUCCCACUGACUUCACCCCAAGAAAAGAGAAGCAUGGAGUCCCAUUCAUUUAAAGCACAGAGGGACUUUUUCCUUGUUGCUCUUUUUUAAAAGGCCCUCUGAAGUUAAGGUGACCAGCUGUCCUGAUUUUAUAGGGACAGUCCCGAUAUUCAGGGCUUGGUCUUAUCUAGGCGCCUAUUACCCCCCCACCCCGUCCCAAUUUUUCACACUUGCUAGCUGGUCAGCUUGUCUGAAGUGCUACUAUCCUUGGUCCAAAUACAAUAGACAGAGAGGGAGAGGUUAGGCCAAACUAAAUACUGAGUGUAAAACAAAUAUGGGGAGACCCAAACAGUACUGAUUACAUCACCCUCCUGAUCCCUAGUUGGGUGUUGGCACCACAUAUGAUAAGGCACACACCCAUAGAGUCCAAUGAGAUCAUAGCAGACAGUUCUAGUUCCACCUAGAUCUUCUGUGGUCUGCUAUGAAAUGCACAGGGGCUGUUUGGAGCUAUGCUCUGGAUUAGCCUAGGAUCUGCCUGAUUUGUAGGGACUUUGUUAGCCCUGGCUAAGCCACUUCCCUGUAGAGGAGUGCCUACUCCUGAUGCGGACCGCACUGUUCCUCUUGGUCAAUUACAACACUUGGUUAUUUAUUUUAUUAAAAAAUAAACCUCUAGUUUUUCUACUAA
Molecule: RNA transcript, 2571 nt
Organism: Chelonia mydas (Green sea turtle)
Lineage: Eukaryota; Metazoa; Chordata; Testudines; Cheloniidae
Gene: P2RX1
Gene name: purinergic receptor P2X 1
Exons: 13
Source: RefSeq, a predicted model, not a curated record